Long non-coding RNA from Panicum hallii, 1631 nucleotides. RefSeq lists it as uncharacterized. The record is from RefSeq and is a predicted model, not a curated record. Lineage: Eukaryota; Viridiplantae; Streptophyta; Magnoliopsida; Poales; Poaceae. The transcript has 2 exons.
UAGUGCGGGGUUGUACACGACCUCAGUUGAGCAUUCACGGUGGCCUUCAUUACUAGCAAAUUGGUGAUGACCAAAAGCACCAAAAUGACCAAAGGUUGCACCACCACGAUCAUAGUAACCACCACGGUGACCAUCUUGGUGGUCAUGCCAGUAACCAAAAUCAGCAUCGCCAUCAAAGCCUGCAAUCCCUGCAAUAGGAACACGCCUUGCACGGCCAAGAAAUUGUGGCCUCUUAUGAGCUGCACCAAAAUUGCCAAAACCAACACCAUGACCUCGACCAGCACCACGUCCUCUGCCACCAUCUCCAACAGCAGCAUGACGUGCCGCCUCGGCUUGAAGACGCGCAGCCUCAGCCGCCAAGGCAGCAGGAUCAUCAUCCUCAACACGUGGUUCAUCAUCUUGUUGCUACUCCAUGUUAGGUGCAUGUUGUAGAUUACUCUGAAGCAAUUCUAGCUGCUGCAUCAAUUGGGUUAUUUGUGCUUGCAUCUCCUGGAAAUCCGCAACCGAAAUAGCAUCACCAGAGUUCGAAUGAGAACCAUCAGGCUUCUUCCUCCUGCAGCAGGUAGAACUUUUCUUCCCUUAGCCACCCCAGCGCUGCCCAGCCACGGCUUCCUCCGACUGAGCUACGGAAGGCACCAGGGCUUGUUCUGCUUCAUCGUUGCAGCCUCUAAUCCUACCUCCACCAACUCCAGCAGUGAUGGCAGUCCCUAGCUCCCACUGCCAUGAGUCCAUGCACGGUGCCAACAACCUAUUUGGCCAAUUGCCACAAAGGUACCAUGUAUACUGCACUUUUAUUAUGGUUGUGUUCUACCACAAAGGUACGAUGUAUGCUGCACUUUUGUUAUGGUUGUGUUCUAGCAUGUUUUAGAGCAAAGUUUGUAAUAUAAGUUUCAAUCGUGUCAAUAAAUUUAGAAUAUUCAGCGAAUCUAUGUUCUGAAUCAGAUAUUCAGAUAACUGAAUGUGUUAUUUAGAUAUCUCUACUAGUUUAUUAAAUCAUUUUCUCCUAUUAGGCAUAGGAUCAGAGCCCAUAAUUAUCUGAAUCCGAUAGCUGAACUAGUUAUCCAUAAGCGCAUGAUCAAAGUUCAAAGAAAUAAGCAUGUGUCAUUUGUAUGCUUACCAACAUGUUAUUACAUCGAUGCUGCUGUAUGCUAUUAGAGAACAACUUGUUAGUUGCCCUUCAUUAUUUCUGCAGUUCGUAAUGCAUGUGAAACAAAAAUAACAUAGCCUUUGUUAGGACUAUGCUGCUUCAGGAGACGAAAACGACGGACACACUAGUGCUCCUGCUCCAGAAGCUCAAGCUGUGAGGACUAAGGAGCUCAAGGACCGCUUUGUCGCUACCGCCAACAACUUCUGGUGAAGCUGAUGAAGAAACCAUCAAGACCAGUUUUCACGACCAAGAUGGAAUUUGAGUGGAGUGCAAGUUCGAUGGGAUGAUCAACACCAAAACAACCUUUGCUGCAGUGAUGCAUAGCUCGUUACAUUUUGAUGUAUUCGAACUAGCAAGUGUGUGUCGGAUAGCUUAUGCGUUUCAGUUGUGUGUGUUAUCAACUAAGUUUGUUAUUAGAUGGUUUCAUUAACGAUUUCUACGAACAAAGAAUAUUUUAGAUUAAUGGAUGUCUAAAUGCUUCACU